UUGAAAUCUGGCCCCCCCCGGGGGCCCGAGUUGUAAUUUGCAGAGGAUGCUUUUGGCGAGGCGCCUUCCGAGUUCCCUGGAACGGGACGCCGCAGAGGGUGAGAGCCCCGUCUGGUCGGACGCCAAGCCAGUGUAAAGCUCCUUCGACGAGUCGAGUAGUUUGGGAAUGCUGCUCUAAAUGGGAGGUAUAUGUCUUCUAAAGCUAAAUAUUGGCCAGAGACCGAUAGCGCACAAGUAGAGUGAUCGAAAGAUGAAAAGCACUUUGAAAAGAGGGUUAAACAGUACGUGAAAUUGUUGAAAGGGAAGCGCUCGUGACCAGACUCGGGCCCGGCGGAUCAUCCGGCGUUCUCGCCGGUGCGCUCCGCCGGGCCCGGGCCAGCAUCAGCUCGCCGCGGGGGACAAAGGCUUCGGGAACGUGGCUCCCACGGGAGUGUUAUAGCCCGCUGCGCAAUGCCCCGGGGCGGGCUGAGGUUCGCGCUCCGCAAGGAUGCUGGCGUAAUGGUCACCAGCGACCCGUCUUGAAACACGGACCAAGGAGUCGUCUUCGUAUGCGAGUGUUCGGGUGUGAAACCCCUACGCGUAAUGAAAGUGAACGCAGGUGAGAGCCUCGGCGCAUCAUCGACCGAUCCUGAUGUUCUCGGAUGGAUUUGAGUAAGAGCAUACGGGGCCGGACCCGAAAGAAGGUGAACUAUGCCUGUGUAGGGUGAAGCCAGAGGAAACUCUGGUGGAGGCUCGCAGCGGUUCUGACGUGCAAAUCGAUC
This 761-nucleotide ribosomal RNA is filed under the name Purpureocillium atypicola. RNAcentral's name for it is "eukaryotic LSU rRNA". It matches the Rfam family "Eukaryotic large subunit ribosomal RNA", at positions 114 to 903 of the family's 3401-position model. Lineage: Eukaryota; Fungi; Ascomycota; Sordariomycetes; Hypocreales; Ophiocordycipitaceae. The record is from RNAcentral.